UACAGAGGGUGCGAGCGUUAAUCGGAAUUACUGGGCGUAAAGCGCACGUAGUCGGCUUUGCAAGUCGGGUGUGAAAUCCCCGGGCUCAACCUGGGAACUGCAUCCGAGACUGCAUUGCUAGAGUAUGGGAGAGGGAAGCGGAAUUUCUGGUGUAGCAGUGAAAUGCGUAGAUAUCAGAAGGAACAUCAGUGGCGAAGGCGGCCUCCUGGACCAAUACUGACGAUCAGGUGCGAAAGCGUGGGGAGCAAACAGG
Molecule: ribosomal RNA, 253 nt
Filed under: uncultured bacterium
Lineage: Bacteria
Description: partial 16S ribosomal RNA
Rfam family: Bacterial small subunit ribosomal RNA
Source: RNAcentral